This 434-nucleotide long non-coding RNA is filed under the name Lathyrus oleraceus (garden pea). RNAcentral's name for it is "Pisum sativum (pea) long non-coding RNA (PSAT_LNC031167)". Lineage: Eukaryota; Viridiplantae; Streptophyta; Magnoliopsida; Fabales; Fabaceae. The record is from RNAcentral.
UGUGCUUUGGGAGAACUGAAUUUCCUAACGGUUUUAACAAACGCGAUAACGAAAGUGAGACCAGCAUAACCAAGAGAACGGCGAGAAUCCACGGCAACGAAGUGGGACCCACUCUCGGAUCGGGAAUCGCUUGGGUAACAGAACGGUGAACUCAACGAGGUCGAGAGCUUUUUCUUGAAUCCACGGAAGUUCCUCUUCUACUUCAACCUCAACAACUUCAUCUUGUCUAGAUUGUUUGGGUUAUUGUUACUGGAAGGGUUUUUCGAUGAUGACGCUGAAGCAACGGUUGAGAUUGAAGUAGGUGAUGAUAAGAGUGGUUUUGGGUGGAGUGUAGGGAAAAAGAAGGGUUGAGAUUGAAAAGGGGUUAGGGAUGGGUUUUUGUUUGGGAGAGAGAGAAAGAUGGAAGUGAGAGAAGAAGUGAAAGCCAUUGGAAU